GCUGCAUUGAAGACCUAUUGCUGACCAUCUGCUGUUGUCUGUUCUAUGGUCAGGUUGUUGUCUCUUUGACACAUUCCCCAUUUCCAUACUCAAUUUUAUCUGCAUUCAGCUACAUAGCCAACAGUGAAGGCACAUGGACCUGCCUAUCUUGUUUCAAAACAAAAACUCAACAAAAAUGUAUGUUAUACCGAAUGGAGAUGACAGCAAGCAC
RNAcentral lists this long non-coding RNA (211 nucleotides) under Mytilus galloprovincialis (Mediterranean mussel). The record is from RNAcentral. Lineage: Eukaryota; Metazoa; Mollusca; Bivalvia; Mytilida; Mytilidae.